GCCCCUGUGGCGCAAUGGACUAGCGUGUUGGAAUUCUAAUUCAAAGGUUGUGGGUUCGAGUCUCACCAGGGGUG
Nematostella vectensis (starlet sea anemone) is the source of this 74-nucleotide non-coding RNA. Lineage: Eukaryota; Metazoa; Cnidaria; Anthozoa; Actiniaria; Edwardsiidae. The record is from Rfam.